Molecule: ribosomal RNA, 253 nt
Filed under: uncultured bacterium
Lineage: Bacteria
Description: partial 16S ribosomal RNA
Rfam family: Bacterial small subunit ribosomal RNA
Source: RNAcentral
GACGGAGGGUGCAAGCGUUGUUCGGAAUUACUGGGCGUAAAGGGCGCGUAGGCGGUCCUGUAAGUCCCGCGUGAAAUCCCCCGGCUCAACUGGGGAACUGCGCGGGAAACUGUGGGGCUUGAGUUCGGGAGAGGGAAGCGGAAUUCCGGGUGUAGCGGUGAAAUGCGUAGAUAUCCGGAGGAACACCGGUGGCGAGGGCGGCUUCCUGGACCGACACUGACGCUGAGGCGCGAAAGCUAGGGGAGCAAACGGG